GCCUGUUUGUCUGUGUGGGUGGUCAUGUAUGAGUCUUUGUCUGUCUUCUCCUUAUGUAAUGUCAGGUGGAAGUUCGGAGCCAAGCGCUGCAGAGGCCAACCCACAUCCUUCUCCCACGCAGCUCUGUGAAGCAGUUACACACAUCAAUCGGGGAAAACGCUCAGCGCUCAGCACCGUUGGAGCAGCUGGAUGUGCACUGGUCAGAAUUUAUAUACUUCUAACAAACAACACUGCUGGUGUCAGUUUGUGAUCAUUGAAGCUAAAGACAUUCAGAAGGUAAUGCCUCAGCAUUUGGAGAUUGCAUUAACACUUGCAUUAAUUUAACAAUACGUAAAAUAUAUUACAUUAAAAAUGUUCACCUUUUGGCUGAGUUAGGACUGCAUCUAAAGCACUAAAAGCAGAUCUAUCAGUGCCUAAGGGCUUUAAGGCAGGUCUUUAGAUGAAUUCAUGGAUAAAUUUGCUUUGAAAACACUGACUGGCAUUGGAAAACAGAAGCUGGACAAAAUUAAUAGCAAAUCCUCUCAGCAAAGUAGAUCUGUUGACUGUCAGCUGCCCUAGAUUCUCAAGUGGAAAACAGCUCAGACAGUAGCUGAGCAUCAAUGACUCAAACAGUUGGCUAAAUUAGCCUCUGGUUGUAAGGAUAAUUGGUUUCCAUUUGGGGAAAUUUCAAAAUUUUAGUAUGUUAAAUAUUUGAGUGAAAAAUGAUUUGGUUUCAUCACUGUAUUUGGAGGCCUUGAGAAUUUUUUUCUCUUUCCCUGGUUUCAGUGUCUAACUCUCAUCAGAGGACCUUAACAAACAUGCUUGUUUAUAAAAGCCAUCUUUGUUGCCCUUAAUCAAGCACCUGCUUAUAGUCCCCCGCUGCUGAGUUGGUCAAUGAAAGACCUGGCACUGGGAGAACAAUGGCUCUGAAUGGGGAAAKGGGCAUCACCUUCAUGUAUUCCCAAAGCACAAAUCCUGCUUCAGCAGCCCUCCCUUUUAUCACAGGUAGGGUUUCAGUGAGGUUUGAGAGUAUCACAAGAAUAAAAAAAAGGAUUGUUAAAAAAAUAACCCA
This 1051-nucleotide long non-coding RNA is filed under the name Dromaius novaehollandiae (emu). RNAcentral describes it as "lncRNA (ENSDNVG00000017865.1)". The record is from RNAcentral. Lineage: Eukaryota; Metazoa; Chordata; Aves; Casuariiformes; Dromaiidae.